CCUACGGGAGGCAGCAGUGGGGAAUUGUUCACAAUGGGCGCAAGCCUGAUGACGCAACGCCGCGUGGGGGAUGAAGGUCUUCGGAUCGUAAACCCCUGUCGAAUGGGACGAAAGACUCGGGAGCUAAUCAUCCUGAGAGUGACGGUACCGUUAAAGGAAGCCACGGCUAACUCUGUGCCAGCAGCCGCGGUAAUACAGAGGUGGCAAGCGUUGUUCGGAAUUACUGGGCGUAAAGGGCGCGUAGGCGGCCUUCUAAGUCAGACGUGAAAUCCCCCGGCUUAACCUGGGAACUGCGUCUGAUACUGGGAGGCUUGAGUAUGGGAGAGGGAUGUAGAAUUCCAGGUGUAGCGGUGAAAUGCGUAGAUAUCUGGAGGAAUACCGGUGGCGAAGGCGGCAUCCUGGACCAUAACUGACGCUGAGGCGCGAAAGCUAGGGGAGCAAACGGGAUUAGAUACCCCGGUAGUCCUAGCCCUAAACGAUGAAUACUUGGUGUGGCGGGUAUCGAUCCCUGCCGUGCCGAAGCUAACGCAUUAAGAUUCCGCCUGGGGAGUACGGUCGCAAGGCUGAAACUUCAAAUUGAAAUUGAGGCUUGGNGAGNGCGAGGACGACGACGAGGGAGAGG
This 622-nucleotide ribosomal RNA is filed under the name uncultured bacterium. RNAcentral describes it as "bacterial SSU rRNA". It matches the Rfam family "Bacterial small subunit ribosomal RNA", at positions 338 to 956 of the family's 1533-position model. The record is from RNAcentral.